Molecule: ribosomal RNA, 270 nt
Filed under: uncultured bacterium
Lineage: Bacteria
Description: partial 16S ribosomal RNA
Rfam family: Bacterial small subunit ribosomal RNA
Source: RNAcentral
AACGUAGGAGACAAACGUUAUCCGGAGUUACUGGGCGUAAAGGGCGUGUAGGUGGUUUCGUAAGUCUGGCGUUGAAAUUUUUCGGCUUAACCGGGAAAGGUCGUCGGAUACUGCGGGACUAGAGGACGGUAGAGGCGUGUGGAAUUCCGGGUGUAGUGGUGAAAUGCGUAGAGAUCCGGAGGAACACCAGUGGCGAAGGCGACACGCUGGGCCGUACCUGACACUGAUGCGCGACAGCAUGGGGAGCAAAACGAGGAUUACGAAACCCGG